Molecule: long non-coding RNA, 820 nt
Filed under: Homo sapiens (human)
Lineage: Eukaryota; Metazoa; Chordata; Mammalia; Primates; Hominidae
Description: non-protein coding lnc-HADHA-3:1
Source: RNAcentral
AUGGCAGAUCCUGCCACUAUCAUGGGAGGGUGUGAAGGCACUAGGGGCCCUAGACUGGGAGGCUUCAGGAGUGGUGACUGGGCCAGGGUUGCUGCUGAGGCCUAGGAGCUCAAGGAGGCAAGGACAAGGACAAGGAAUAGCUCUCUGUCACCAAGGUGGGUUACCUGAUCAAAGACAUGACGAGUUCCUGGAGGAAAUCUCUCUAUUCUCCCCGCCCAUCAAGGAGUCUGAGAUCGUUCACUUUUUCCUAAGGAUGUCCUCAAAGAUGAGGUUUUGAAGAUUAUGCCCAUGCAAAAAGAGACCUAUGCUGGCCAGUGGACCAGGUUCAAGGGAUUUGUCACAGUCAGGGACAAGAGUCACAUCAGUCUGUGUGUUAGGUAUUCCAAGGAAGUAGUCCCUGCCAUCUGCAGGCCACCAUUCACUGGCCAACCUCUCCAUUUCCCAUGUGCAGUGAAGCUACCUGGGGAACAAGAUCAUUAAGACCCACAGUCCCUUGCCAGGUAACCACUGCAGCUCUGUGCUGGUGGCCUCAUCCCAGUCCCUAGAAGCACUGCCCGCCCCUGUGCCCAAAAGCUGCUGCUGAUGACCCCUAUCAAUGACUGCUACACCUCCACCAGGAGCUACACUGCUACCCUAGGCACCUUUGCCAAGGUCACCUUUAAUACUAUCUUCAAGACCUAUAGCUAUCUCAUCCCCAACACCUCAAGAAAGACAACACGUUCAAUGAGUCUCCCUAUCAGGAAUUCACUGACCAUCUUGUAAGACCCAUACCGGAGUCUCCAUGAAGAAGACCCAGGCUCCAGCUGUGGCUGCUAUGUAG